RNAcentral lists this ribosomal RNA (468 nucleotides) under uncultured bacterium. Its description in RNAcentral is "partial 16S ribosomal RNA". It matches the Rfam family "Bacterial small subunit ribosomal RNA", at positions 28 to 507 of the family's 1533-position model. The record is from RNAcentral.
GACGAACGCUGGCGGCGUGCUUAACACAUGCAAGUCGAACGGAAAGGCCCUGCUUUUGUGGGGUGCUCGAGUGGCGAACGGGUGAGUAACACGUGAGUAACCUGCCCUGGACUUUGGGAUAACUUCAGGAAACUGGGGCUAAUACCGGAUAGGAGCUUCUGCUGCAUGGUGGUGGUUGGAAAGUUUCGGCGGUUAGGGAUGGACGCCCGGCUUAUCAGCUUGUUGGGGGGAUAUGGGCUUACGAAGGCAUUGACGGGUAGCCGGCAUGAGAGGGUGACCGGCCACAAUGGGACUGAGAUACGGACCAGACUGCUAUGGGAGGCAGCAGUGGGGAAUAUUGCACAAUGGGCGGAAGCCUGAUGCAGAGACGCCGCGUGCGGGAUGACGGCCUUCGGGUUGUAAACCGCUUUCAGCUGAUACGAAGCGUGAGUGACGGUAACGAGAGAAGAAGCACCGGCUAACUACGUG